This 72-nucleotide transfer RNA is filed under the name Neuronema laminatum. RNAcentral describes it as "tRNA-Met". Lineage: Eukaryota; Metazoa; Arthropoda; Insecta; Neuroptera; Hemerobiidae. The record is from RNAcentral.
AAAAAGAUAAGCUAAUCAAGCUAUUGGGUUCAUACCCCACUUAUAAAGGUCCCCCCACCCCUUUUCUUUUUA